RNAcentral lists this transfer RNA (98 nucleotides) under Ceratobasidium sp. AG-Ba. It matches the Rfam family "tRNA". Rfam says of the family: Transfer RNA (tRNA) molecules are approximately 80 nucleotides in length. Their secondary structure includes four short double-helical elements and three loops (D, anti-codon, and T loops). Further hydrogen bonds mediate the characteristic L-shaped molecular structure. tRNAs have two regions of fundamental functional importance: the anti-codon, which is responsible for specific mRNA codon recognition, and the 3' end, to which the tRNAs corresponding amino acid is attached (by aminoacyl-tRNA synthetases). tRNAs cope with the degeneracy of the genetic code in two manners: having more than one tRNA (with a specific anti-codon) for a particular amino acid; and 'wobble' base-pairing, i.e. permitting non-standard base-pairing at the 3rd anti-codon position. The record is from Rfam by way of RNAcentral. Lineage: Eukaryota; Fungi; Basidiomycota; Agaricomycetes; Cantharellales; Ceratobasidiaceae.
GGGCGCUUAGUGGAGUGGUUACCACGUUGGUCUUCGACGCACCUCUAAGGGGUUGAUUCGUCAACCAAAGUUCGUCGGUUCGAUCCCGGCAGUGCUCA